GGGGCGGUGGCGAAUUGGAUGAGACGCACUGGAUUUAGGUUCCAGCGCCGCAAGGUGUAAGAGUUCGAGUCUCUUCGCCCCCACCA
Molecule: transfer RNA, 86 nt
Filed under: Acinetobacter baumannii
Lineage: Bacteria; Pseudomonadati; Pseudomonadota; Gammaproteobacteria; Moraxellales; Moraxellaceae
Description: tRNA-Leu
Rfam family: tRNA
About the family: Transfer RNA (tRNA) molecules are approximately 80 nucleotides in length.
Source: RNAcentral